GACGAACGUUGGCGGCGUGCUUAAUACAUGCAAGUCAACUGAAGCAGUGGUAGCAAUAUCGCUGUGGAGGUGGCGCACGGGUGAGUAACACGUAGGUAAUCUGCCUUCAGGUCUGGCAUAACUCCGGGAAACCGGGGCUAAUAGCAGAUGAUGCAGCGGCUCGACAUCGAGACAGUUGUUAAAGCUAUGGCGCCUGAAGAUGAGCCUGCGUCUGAUUAGCUAGUUGGCGGGGUAACGGCCCACCAAGGCAACGAUCAGUAGCUGGUCUGAGAGGAUGAUCAGCCACACUGGAACUGAGACACGGUCCAGACUCCUACGGGAGGCAGCAGUAAGGAAUAUUGCUCAAUGGGAGAAAUCCUGAAGCAGCAACGCCGCGUGAGGGACGAAGGGCUUUUGCUUGUAAACCUCUGUAGUGAGAGAAAAAAAUCCCAAUCUUUGGGACAUGAUGGUAUCUCAAAAGUAAGCCCCGGCCAACUACGUG
RNAcentral lists this ribosomal RNA (481 nucleotides) under uncultured bacterium. RNAcentral describes it as "partial 16S ribosomal RNA". It matches the Rfam family "Bacterial small subunit ribosomal RNA", at positions 28 to 507 of the family's 1533-position model. The record is from RNAcentral.